Molecule: RNA transcript, 1842 nt
Organism: Phacochoerus africanus (Common warthog)
Lineage: Eukaryota; Metazoa; Chordata; Mammalia; Artiodactyla; Suidae
Gene: IFT25
Gene name: intraflagellar transport 25
Exons: 8
Source: RefSeq, a predicted model, not a curated record
GCAUAGAGCCGGGAGUAGAUUCUGCGCAGCAUCCAGCGAACUCCUAGAAGGCCGGUGGAGAGGGGAGAGGCGGUGUUGUGGGCAGGGUGGUAGAGAGAAACGAAGCUCGACUGUAAGCGCAUUUGUCGCUAACCGGAGGCCUAGGCGAUCCGGGCUUCGUGGCUCGCCCGGCACCUUGGGAGAUACAGCUUGCCCAGUCGCCUUGCAUCUGCAUAUUGGUUUGUGCCCUAUCACUGCAGAUCAAGGAGGGUUCAACAUUUAAAGAUGAAAAAAGUUGAUCUUUGUUUAAGCUCUGAAGGGACUGAAGUGAUUUUAGCUACAUCAAGUGAUGAAAAACACCCACCUGAAAAUAUCAUUGAUGGAAAUCCAGAAACAUUUUGGACCACCACAGGGAUGUUUCCCCAAGAGUUCAUUAUUUGUUUUCACAAACACGUAAGGAUUGAAAGGCUUGUAAUCCAGAGUUACUUUGUGCAGACCUUGAGGAUUGAAAAGAGCACUUCUAAAGAUCCGGUUGAUUUUGAGCAGUGGAUUGAAAGAGAUCUAGUACACACAGAGGGGCAGCUUCAAAAUGAAGAAAUUAUGGAAAUUCAAGGGAGAGAGGAACAAGUAAAAUGACACCACAAGGAAGCAAAUAGACUUGUAGCCAUUAAUGCUGCUCAACUGAGAUGCCCAGAUCUCUGCCCUCCUGCCCAUGCUUUUACUGAGCUCUGACUCUGGGACAUGGACUCUGGCAGGCGCUGAGUGACAGGUGAUCAAAACAGCCUCGAUCAUCUUACGGGAAGGUGGGUGAGUAAACAACGCUGGUUCCGCUCAGCCACGUAAGCCUCCUUGCCUUCAAUCUCUGGGUUUAAGACUUGGGCCAAGCUCAUGGGUUCAGUCCCCAUGAAAAUCAGGGAGACAGAGAUGUGUCUGACCAUCUUGCAAAGUCCAAGGGGCUUAGACCAAGCCGUAGGUGUUUCGGGGAAGGACAUGACUGCCCAGUGUAAGGAUUUUCUCACAGAUGGAGCUGUGCAGCAGCCAAACGGGAUUCCCAUGAAGUGAUGGAGAUGAGUCAUUGCCUCUUAGGAGCCAAAGGGAUCCCAGCCCCAGGUGAAAGCUGGCCCAGAGCAGUGGUUCUCAGUGUGGUCCCCAGUCUACAGCUUCAGGACCACCGGGAGCUGGUUAGAAAUGCAAAUUCCCAGGCCCCGCCCCAAGAUCUAACUCAAACUCUGAGGUGGGGUCCAGCAGGCCAUUUUAACAAGCCCUCUGGGUGCUUCUGGUGCCCACCAAAGCCUGGGAACCGCUGAGGGAGAUGCAGCACAAUGUUCCUUUGAACCUGGGACAGUCUUAGGAUGGAUUUUACAAAUAGAUAUAGAGCUGCCAUUUUCACUUGUGACAUUUCAGGUCUAAAGUCUUUGUAAUUGUACUCAUAUUAGCUCCUCGCCCUGGAUUUCCCUAUAGAUCCAUUCAGAAUGUUGGAUAUUCUCCUUGCUAGACCUGUCACCCCAGGUUUUCUGCUCUGUGUGCCUCGUCGAGAACACAGACUGUGAGUUAGCGGGUGGUGGGUAAGCCUAGCAGGACCUGGGAGAUGGUAGGUUCUCGGUGAAUAGCGCUGUCUUCCUCUCUCCUCCUGUUCUUCCCCCCACCCCCAAACUUGAGCAAAGAGGAGAGAGAGGGAGGGAAGUGGUAGAGGCAGGGGAUCUUUUUUCUUACCUGAUGCAUGUGCUUCUUCAAUGUAAAUGAUGAGAAAAUCUGCUAUGGAACUAAAAUCUUCAAUAAGUCUCUUGAAUUGGUCAAAUUUGAAAAUAAAUGAAGGUCAGGUGCAACUUCCGAAAUUUAGCACUAGUGGCCUGUUGCCUAAAA